Molecule: transfer RNA, 67 nt
Filed under: Siboglinum ekmani
Lineage: Eukaryota; Metazoa; Annelida; Polychaeta; Sabellida; Siboglinidae
Description: tRNA-Ser
Rfam family: tRNA
About the family: Transfer RNA (tRNA) molecules are approximately 80 nucleotides in length.
Source: RNAcentral
GGUUUUAUGUUUAGGAAACUUUUGACUUUGAAAGUCAUUAAAAAAUGUUCAAUUCAUUUUAAAAUCU